CCCUGCCUAUGCUUAUAAGACCAAAGCAGGCAGAUUAUUGUGCAGGAAAACUACUUCUUCAUGUGGCUGGAAAAAGCAGAGGCAAGAGUUUUACCCACAGGAGACACAUAUCAAAGGAAGAAACUCCUGCAUCUGACUGAUACCAUUAAAAGCAGCCAGGUUGCACUGAUGUGUGUUCUAAUGGCCGAUGGUAGCAUCUAAUGGUGUGAACAAGAUGGGAAAUACCUGAUGUUCCUUUAAAUGACAGAAGAGUGGUGCAUUACAGGUCAUGGAAGUAACACAGACUGCCAUCAGUAAGGAUCCCCUGGAAAUGUUUAUGCCUUCUUCGCAUAUUAUUCUCACAUGCCAUGUUUGUGGAUUUGAUAAAAGCUAAUCAUCCUUGCCUAAUGUGAAGAGUGUUCCAGGACUAUCUGUGUGGAUUGCCCACUAGGUGUCAUACUAGAAGGCCUGUGUUUUAUGAAUGCUGAAGUCAGUCUGGGAAGAGUCUUCAAGAACAGAAUGAAAGACAAGGCUGCCCCUCGGACAGAGAUCAAGUUAUUUGCAUCUAUUUCAGAUAAUAGUCAUCUAUGAACAAACAACUUGAGUUUCUCUUCCUAAAUGGCAAAUCCAAGAUGAUUCCCACCUCCGCUUGAAAGUUCUGUUGUUUGGGUCAUGAUAUAACCCCUCUCGAAGCCUAAAGAAGGUGUUUGCUUCUACUCAGAGUUGAUUUCAUGAGACAUACAGGGAGAUUUAAGUCCACUAAUUCAUGCAUCGUCCUUGGCCUGAGACUAACAGCAAGUGUUUGCAGCCAGUGUUCCAGCAACUCAGCAAGAAGUGAAUGUAAUCAGAAAAUGCGGGGGAGGGAGGAGAGAAACAAAAAAAAUCCAGCCUCAAUAAUAUGAAAAGCUCAUACAGAUAUACAAGGUGCAUUAUUCACUUGUUACCAACUGUUAAAACUUAAGCAAGAUGUUGAUGAGCACAAUUUGAAUGGAAAAAUAAAGUAAGGUUUGUUCCUA
Harpia harpyja (harpy eagle) is the source of this 995-nucleotide long non-coding RNA. RefSeq lists it as uncharacterized. Lineage: Eukaryota; Metazoa; Chordata; Aves; Accipitriformes; Accipitridae. The transcript is spliced from 5 exons. The record is from RefSeq and is a predicted model, not a curated record.